AUGCAUCACCAUGAUCUUGCGCGUGCUCUACUAGUGAAUGGAGUUAAUGACACGGCGAUCGUACUGAUUCCAAACAUACCCCAUCCUAAGGAACUAAAGGACUUCAGACCAAUUAGCCUGUGUAAUGUGGUGUAUAAGGUUGUUUCUAAAUGCAUGGUAAACAGAUUACGACCUCUCCUGGCUGGACUCAUUUCGGAAAAUCAAAGCGCUUUUAUUCCAGGGAGGCUCAUAUCUGACAAUUCCAUCAUUGCCUUUGAGUGUAUUCAUCAUAUCCAGGAAGCAAAAAACAAUUCUCCCGCCUUAUGUGCAUAUACGCUUGAUCUAUCCAAGGCCUAUGAUUGGGUGGAUUGGGAGUUUUUGGAGAAGGCUUUAGCUAAAUGGGGCUUUUCUCAGACAUGGAUCUCUCGUGUGAUGGCAUGUGUGUCUUCGGUGAAAUAUCCGGUAAAAUUUAAUGGCAAGUUAUUGGAGGCGUUCACCCCCUCUAGGGGGCUCCUCAAGGUAAUCUGUUGUCCCCCUUUCUCUUCCUUUUUGUAG
Molecule: ribosomal RNA, 534 nt
Filed under: Triticum aestivum (bread wheat)
Lineage: Eukaryota; Viridiplantae; Streptophyta; Magnoliopsida; Poales; Poaceae
Description: partial small subunit ribosomal RNA
Source: RNAcentral